Pteropus vampyrus (large flying fox) is the source of this 135-nucleotide ribosomal RNA. Lineage: Eukaryota; Metazoa; Chordata; Mammalia; Chiroptera; Pteropodidae. The record is from Ensembl.
AUCUUCAGCCAUACCACCCUGACCGCGCCAGAUCUCGUCUGAUCUCGGAAGCUAAGCAGGAAUGGAACUGGUUAGUACUUGGAUGGGAAAAGCUGGGCUCCUUGGCAGGUGACACUCCUCCAGUUGCCGGAGCUG